GACACGACUCUCGGCAAUGGAUAUCUCGGCUCUCGCAUCGAUGAAGAGCGCAGCGAAAUGCGAUAUGUGGUGCGAAUUGCAGAAUCCCGUGAACCAUCGAGUCUUUGAACGCAAGUUGCGCCCGAGGCCAACCGGCUGAGGGCACGUCCGCCUGGGCGUCAAGC
This 164-nucleotide ribosomal RNA is filed under the name Dendrobium heterocarpum. RNAcentral describes it as "5.8S ribosomal RNA". It matches the Rfam family "5.8S ribosomal RNA". From Rfam's summary of the family: 5.8S ribosomal RNA (5.8S rRNA) is a component of the large subunit of the eukaryotic ribosome. The record is from RNAcentral. Lineage: Eukaryota; Viridiplantae; Streptophyta; Magnoliopsida; Asparagales; Orchidaceae.